UUACAGUGUAAAUAUAAUUACUGUGACAUAGAUUUGCUUUGGUUCACUGAGCUGGCAAUGAGCAAGCUUUACAGCAUUGUAUCUUUUUGUUCUUGCUUAAAUUGCCUUUCUAGUAGGUGGUUGGAGCUAGAACCCAGACCACAGCUGCAGUCCCAAUGUGCUGUUGUAACAGUAUUAGCAUAUAAAGUAGAUAUCAUUGCAGAGUGCAGGGCUGAUUCCUACCGGCCCUAUGCGCUGUGAGUGUAGCGGGAAAGGUCCAUUUCAGUGUGCUUGGCACAGCAGGAACCUGCUGACUUGGCAGUACCUGCAGGAGACUCCGUGCUUUUCAGUGGUGGCUGCUCUACACUCCUGGAUUUUGCCGCCUUGCCAGCAGCACUGGGACCAGAACAAGCAGAGAAGUGUUUUCCAUGGAAAUCUUCUUUCCUAGAUUGAAUGACCCUUAUGCACUGUGUCUUUCCUGGUUGCACAGACAGGUCUGUACCAACAAGUGUUUCUCCUGAAGGAACCUAGAGCAUCUGGACAGGUCUGAGUGGGUCUGGUGUGGAAACGCAGUCCUGGGGAGCUCAGAUACAUGACAGUGCUUAUACAAGUAGUUAACCUAAGAAUAUUGACUACGCCUAUGCAUGUGUUUGCCCUAAUAGCACUGGUCUGAAUCCGAUAUACUUAUUGCCUCCAGAGGAGGCUGGCGGCCAUUUUGUCAGCCCAGAGCUGCUGCUGCAGCUAUGCAGCAGCUUCUUCACUGCUGGUUUCUCUCCAUGUAAACCUUCCUCCCUUACCACAUGUGCCCCCAGGCCCCUGUUUGCCACUCUUUGUCUUUUAGGGGGAAAAAGCCAAGUGUGGGAGGCUGGAUGUUGUUCCCUCUGCUGCCUGAGGGACCCUCUUGUGGCUUCCGGAAGGUUCCACAGAGCUUCCUGUCAGUGCCGUGGGACAGCCAGCGCCUCGCUUAUGACCUGUGGACGAGGGUGCUUCUGUGGCUGUCCAAAAAAAAAGGGAUAAAAAAAUGCUGGAAACAGCACAGCUGGAGAGCACGUAAUACUGCUGAAGAGAUGCAAAGAGAAGAUGCAGUUCUAUUAAGAGAUUUCAUGAGUACGCACAGCUAUGCAGGACAAAAGGACAACUUCUUCAUGAAAAGAAAUACUGUUGCUGGCUCAGACUUGGUGAGAGAAAGAGAUACGGAUACAUUGUAUAUCAGUGGAAGAAGACAUGAGGAGAUAUGAAUCAACUUGGGAGAUGUGAACUUUCUAUGAGCUUCUGAGACCUGCAGAAUGUCUGGCUGAGAUGGCAUCAUCCCUCCACAGGGCAGCUCGCCAAAAUGCCUGGGUGGUGCUUGGAGGGAAAAGGAAGAGGGCGAGACAAAGUGUUGUCAUCCUGUUUAUCUAUUUGAGCUAGCAAAAUGCUACAGUAGUGAUGCAUCUAAAUGGCAAUACUUCCUUCUGUUUCACUCAUUUCAAAGAUUUUAGAGAAUUCCUUCAUUUUAGUUGGUCAGUAGCUGUUUAAGAUUGUAUUUUUUAUCAAUUUAUUAUGCUGACUAGCAAUGCUAACAAAGCUUUUUAAGUAAAGCAGGCUGUAUUGCAACUUUAUUUUUUUCCCCCUAAAUUAUACGCUUUGAUUAAUAAUAAGUGCUGUGAAUAGAGAUAAUUGAAACAUUUCUUCACAAGAUGCUUAAUCUUUGGAUUUGAGAUGGACCCUGGGGAAAGAGUUUGCAUUCAGACCUAAUGGCUUUAACGCAUCCUUGCUUUAAUUUCAAAAUUUCUGCUUUAGGGAGUUAUGCUAUUAGAAACUUUUUUAUUUGACCGAAGUUUGUACAUAUGACAAUGCAAUUGUCUUGUUGCAUACAUUCUCAUCCCGUUAAAUUUCAUAACAUUUCUCUAGGAUCUAAAGGAUUUUUCUCUUAUCACUCUUUGGGCUUAAUUCUGCUCUGGAAAAUCAAGCUCUGUCCUCUUUGUUUCAUUCCUUGUCAUUUAAGAUCAGACAACAAUUCUGAAAUCAGAAUGAGCUUUCUGUUAUCUCUCUGAUUUUGAUGGAUUGUCAUGCGUAGGUUUGACUUUGCAGGGGUUGAAUACAGCAUUAAAAAUGUUUUGAGCUGUUAACUGAACAAACAUGCCAUGGAAACUAGAGAGAAAGGUCACCGGCACAGUGCUUGGUGGAAAAAAGCUUUGGUGUUUUUCUUUUUUUUUUUUUUGUCUGUGUCUGUUUUGUUUUGUUUUUUAACUUUGCACAAAGCUUUGAGGUAGAGCAUUGUAACGCAAUUUUCAGAUCACUGAAUUAUGUACUGCAUACAUGCUUAACGAUUUAUGGUACCAUGAGUUAUUUAAUCAGAUAAUGCAUAUACUUUGUAUUACAAUCAAACUCUGAAUGGAAGAAAUUGCUAAUCCUCUGAAUGACACACUAUAUCCGGUGUUAUCCAAAAAUAAUAUGACUUUUUCCUGCCAAAAGUUAUAAAUUCCAGUGGCCAUUGUCUCAUCUGAAAACAUCAAUUAAGCAAAAAUGUGUAAUAAACAGUGUCUUUCAUUUGGAGCA
Long non-coding RNA from Numida meleagris (helmeted guineafowl), 2520 nucleotides. The record is from Ensembl. Lineage: Eukaryota; Metazoa; Chordata; Aves; Galliformes; Numididae.